AAGCGAUGAGCUGCCGAGGAAGUUUGUUGCAAAUGUUACCACGCAGAGCGCACAUCUCUCGCACCUCUGCAGCCGCUCCGACGAAAGACCGUUCUCGGAAGAUCCUGCGACUCCGGCCGAAGGCAGUCCCAUGUUUCCACGCUGCUUCUGCCCGGCGACGUCUCUCUCUCCAACGCAUCAGCGACCGCCUUCAAGCGGGGCACCUUGGCGACUGACGUUAUCCGCGCCGCGCCUUUCUCUAUGGCCGCGCAGCCACGGACGCCUAGCAGCGAGAGAAAUGCAUUCGGCGAAGCAACUGGCGUAACCCUCCACGAGCAGAGGAUAAUCUAUUCUGCGCACGACCGGCGCAAAGGGCCAACCACAUGCACGCGAUUUUCGAGCGACGGCGACAAGCAGCGGCGAAGAGCGACAGUUUUUGCAGUCGCAAAAUGGCGAACCGUCGCUGUCACUUGACGAGUCGCCGGUUUUUUUGGCCAACCAGAAAAGUUCGCUUUUCGCCCGGGAGUACAAGCGGCAACUUCCGCCGGGAACAGCGUGAUUGUGCAACAAUAUGACAGCAACCAGUGGGUCCUGGUCCGCACGCUUCGAUCCGAAUUCGCUCUCGCAACCUGCUCUUUGCCGUGACAGCAAAAAAUAAAUAGUAAAAUUAGCCAUC
Long non-coding RNA from Dermacentor albipictus, 655 nucleotides. RefSeq lists it as uncharacterized. Lineage: Eukaryota; Metazoa; Arthropoda; Arachnida; Ixodida; Ixodidae. The record is from RefSeq and is a predicted model, not a curated record.